RNAcentral lists this long non-coding RNA (164 nucleotides) under Cervus hanglu yarkandensis (Yarkand deer). RNAcentral describes it as "lncRNA (ENSCHYG00000005775.1)". Lineage: Eukaryota; Metazoa; Chordata; Mammalia; Artiodactyla; Cervidae. The record is from RNAcentral.
GCUUAUCCAAGAUCACAUAGCUGGAAAGUGGCUGAGAUAAGGGAUUUGAAUCCAGACCAAUUUAACUCAAAAGUCUGUGCUCUGUGCUCUUUCAUCACAUCACUCCAACCCAAAGAAGAUACUAAUGCUUCAAUGACUGCAAGGACAAAAUACCUCCACACACA